UGGCACUACAGCUCAAGCUUGAGGUUUCUCUGUUCACAGACAGCGGCUGGUUUUCUGACGGCUCACUGCCUACAGGGAGCUCUCCCUUGAUGCCACAUGUGGAAAAUGGUGUGUUGGAAUCUUCCCUUGGGAAGGCUGGACUUCUGCAAAUUCUUUCCCAUGCAUGGGUAUCUACUCAGAACAAGAUUUGGACACCUAGGGGUGCUUGGCUGGCUCAGAUAGUGGACCAUGCGACUGUUGAUCUCACGGU
This is a long non-coding RNA of Leopardus geoffroyi (Geoffroy's cat), 250 nucleotides long. RefSeq lists it as uncharacterized. NCBI's taxonomy places the organism in Eukaryota, Metazoa, Chordata, Mammalia, Carnivora, Felidae. The transcript has 3 exons. The record is from RefSeq and is a predicted model, not a curated record.